RNAcentral lists this long non-coding RNA (3069 nucleotides) under Phaseolus vulgaris (common bean). RNAcentral's name for it is "long non-coding RNA (PVUL_LNC001681)". The record is from RNAcentral. Lineage: Eukaryota; Viridiplantae; Streptophyta; Magnoliopsida; Fabales; Fabaceae.
GAGAGAGCUUGACAACUUUGAUCAACAUCCGAUAAAAGACCAAAACUUCAGCUAACACUAAGAUACCGCAUUUCUUUGUCCAACUUCAUUAAGAUUUUUCGUAUGAACAUUUUCAAACUGUACGACUAAGAAGAAAAUGAAAAUAUAGUAAUAGAUGGUCAAAAUCCAUGUAGAGAUAUCCCUGUUUCGUCAGCAGUAUUCACUAUUGACUGUAUAAAGAAUAUGAUACUGACCAAGCCUUUUCAAUCACACUUCUUUCUUCCUCCUUCUUAUUCCUAAUUCUGUGUACAUUUCUAAAUUACAAUAAGCAGGAGAGCAGAUUAGAAGCCCCCUGGCUCGAACUGUGCUGGCACCAUGGUUAUUUGUGAUCCUCAUUGCAACUAGUACUUUCACAGCAAGUUUGACUUCCAUGAUGACUGUUUCACAACUAGAGCCAUCUGUGUUAGAUAUCCAGACCCUUCUGAAAAGAAAUUCUGCAGUUGGUUGUAAUGGAAAUUCGUUCAUUGUGAAGUAUUUGACCGAGGUACACAAAUUCAAGCGUGAGAACAUUAAAAAAAUUAACAAUAUAAAUGAUUACCCUGCUGCCUUUCGGAACAAAGAUAUCGAAGCUGCUUUCUUUAUUGCACCUCACGCUAAGGUCUUUUUGGCAAAGUACUCAUGCAGGGGUUUAAUCAAAGCAGGGAACACUUUCAGGCUUGGAGGCUUAGGUUUUGUGGGUGGUCUCUCUCCUCUUAUUCUCACCAUUUUAUGACAUUGUAGGCUUGUGAAAGUUUUCUUAUAUAUACCAAUAGUCAAGGACUCAUCUAAUGCAUUUCUCCAAUUUUCUCUCCUACCAAACUUAACUUAUGAGAUACUGCACAUACUAUUUUUCAAAUGUGAUUUUCCUAUUUCUGAAGCUGUUCUAAUUAGCAUGUUUAUUUUGGUUGUUUUAUUACUUAGGUAUUUCGAAAGGGUUCAACUCUGGCUACUGACAUAUCUGAAGCAUUGCUGAAAGUGAUAGAGAGUGGAGAGACCGAACAACUAGAAAAAGAUAUGCUAACGGUAGGAGGCAAUACCACUUGUUCUCCUUUAGAGAGCAAGGCAAAGGCUAGGUCAUCGACUGGAUUUCAACCUUUCCUUGGCCUAUUUUGCAUCUGUUCUAUUGUUGCUAUUCUGGCAUUGUUAUAUAGUAUGAUUUGUUUGUUGAUGAACAAUGUAGAGACCUUCACUUGCUACAUACAUGUAAGAUUGACACAAUUAAGGAGAAUAUGGAGAUGCACAACCACAGUUUUUUUCUGGGAGCCGCUCAAGACUCCAAUCAGAAAGUCUGGGAAGUGUAAACCCGACACAGUAACAAGAAAUGCAGAGGACAGUCAUUGAUAGUCAGCAAAGCACAGUGGUUAUACGUGUAGUAUGGCUGCGAAUGGUUCCUGACAUACCAAUUUUUCAAACUGCUGAAAACAUUUCACUGCGAAGCUCUUGAUGUUUUGAGAUUAUUCAAUUUUAAUAGAAUUAAGAGUGGGUUUCAAAUCCUAUGUGUCUCCUUUAACUUUUCAUUAAGUGUUGCACCAAAAUUUAUUCCAUAAGCUCUAACGUAACAAUAGUUUAUUAUAUAUACAUUUAUUAAGCUGUUUACCUAUACACACCAGCUCAAACAAGACAACUAGAACUUUGUUGUUUGAGCUCAAAAUGAGCCAACCCAACCUAGCCUAGUUCAGUGGUGAAUUAAUUGGCCAACCUGACUCAACCCUUCUGGGUUGGCUAUCUAAAGAAAACUGAAAAAGCACAAGAAAUGGAAAUAACAGAGAAUUAUAAAAUUGCAAGAAAAAAAUAAGAUUAUACUAAUCAUACAAAAAUGUUAUGCAAAUUAAUAAUUACAACAUCCAUUGACCAAGCAAUACGUGCCCUUUUGAAAUUCACACUAAAUACAUAUAAAUUCCUAUAAUCUCAUGGCUUAACCUCUUUGCUCAAAGCUAGGGGUGACAAUACGAAGCGGACCGGUCUGCGGCUCACUACCAAAAAGUGCAAGUCGGGCUCACUAAUCUAAUCAGCUAACCCGCUUUGGCCUGUACUACAGGUUGGUCCGCUGGCCAGCGUAAUAAAAAAAUAAUUAUUAUUUUUUUGUAAAAAAAGAAUCAUACCUCAUUCAUUCAUUAUUGCAGUGUGACCUUUAUUUUAUUUUAUUUUAAAAAAAUUGAAUUUAAUAUACUAAAAAAAUGAAUGUUUUAUUUUAAUCAUAUAAAAGAGCUAGUAUUAAGAGUGACAUUGGGACGGAACAACCCAAUUCGCAUUUUGCAGAUCAAUCACAAAGCGAACCUAUGCGGGACGGACCAACUCGCAUUGACACCCAUACUCAAAGCCCAAAAGAGAUCACAAUUACAAUGCAGACAAGUGCAGAAGUAGCAUUAGCAUAAGCUAAUACUUAUGCAACAUUCUUAAGAUUAGUUUGCUAAAUUCUAAAUCUUAAGCAUAUAUUUUAAUUGCACAAUUGACAGUCUAUCCUCUCAAUUUUAUUUUUCACUUGAUAUCCUUCCUACGUGGUUACUAGUAUUGCCUUGCUUUAUUAAAUAAUUUUAUGCCCAAAUACAAACCUAACAGCCUCAACUUAAAAGAUCAUGAUCUAUAAAAUUCUUACAAGAACAAGUCAGAAACUAAUAAAGCUAUGCUGAUCCAGAACCAAAAACACAUACAAUCCAGUCCUUUGAAGAAAACAGUCAAGCCUAAAACGACCCAAAUGAAAUAAAACCCAAAUUCAUAAAAACCGAAAAAAGAAAGAGUGGUGGUGAGGUUUACUUGCAGGGGAGCUAGGAGUGGAGACACUGGUGUAGGUGGAGCAUUCUGGAGCCUAAGUCACUCACACGUGAAAGGUGGUUUGGUGGCAAUGGCUGGACAAAGCAAUUCUUGAAAAUGAGGCCGAAUAUUUGAAGUCUGCUAGAUCAUAAUCCUGCAGCAAAAUUCAAAAUUCAUUCCUUAAUUGAUUUUUUGAGAUAAGAUAGCACAAAAUAUUAGGAAGCCAGUCCAAAAUUAUCCAAACAGGAGUAAUUUUAAGAAAAUUACAAUUUUACCCUCACCUCUUUGGCUUUCCUAUCC